AGGUGAUCCUAACUGUUCUUUCAAUCCGAUUUUUCGAUCGGCAAUCGUCAGGUGAUGUCUGGUUCUGCACAUAAUGCGCACGAGAUUGAUAUAAGGCUUAAUAAUAACGGCAAGCUUCUUCUAGCAGUAGUACGGUCAUGGCGGGGAUUGCUACGGAAAACAAGAAGAGGAGGGGUUUUAACUUUACAAAUGACGAGAUGGAGGCAUUAGUUUAGGCGGUGGACGAAAGGAAAAGUAUUUUAUUCGGCAAAUUUUCCCCAAAUGUAACGUCGCGGAUCAAAGCAAACAAAUGGCAAGAGGUGUCGGACGCUGUCUCAGCGGUUUGUGGGGUACUGAGGACGGUGGACGGUGUAAAGAAAAAGUGGUCGACCAUAGCGAGUGACGCCAAGACCAGAGGGACGCUACAGAAGAGGGACCAGGCAAAGACGGGGGCUGGUAUGCCAGAAGUGAAGCCUAUAACCAUGCUAGAGGAGAAGAUCCUGGCCACCAUGGGUCAAGUUUACACCCAAGGCAUUUCAACCGGCAUAGAGGUGGGCCUGCCUGAGGAGAUCCUUGAGAACGUCAGUGCCGAGGUGUCUGAAUCAACUGAGGUCAUACUGACGUUGAUGGAUUCAGAGUGUGACAGCAGGACUCUGCCAACAGCAAUAAUUAUCCCAUCACCUGCUAAAAAGAAGAAACACAUUAGCCUACAAGAGGAGCUUCUGGAGUUGGAGAAGGAGAAGCUGUUGGUGAUGCGAGAGACACUAAAUGUUGAGAAGGAGAGACUGAAAUUGGAUAAAGAAAAAUUUGAAUUCAUGAAGGAGUAUUUUAUUGACCACGGGAACAAUAUUGUGAACUUAUUUGAACAAUGAAGUGAAAUAAUUUGUACACUUAUUCAAGUUUGAUUGAGUUAAACUGUUAAUUUAUUUUUUAUAUUGAAUUAAAUAUUUUACAUUAAAUUGGUAUGUUUUCUUUUUAAUUAUCUUAUCUAAAAUAAUGUGCAAUAAGAUUGUUUCUGGCAGUUCUACCAGUCUGUGCACCAUCAUGUAUGCCAUCAUGGCCUUCCUCCUCAUCUUCAACCAUGGCCGGGACGUCCUUAGGGUCCGGGAGAUUAGCAAACCUGCAUAUGUUUUGCAACACAGCAGUGGCCUUCACGAACAUCACUGCUCUCUCAGGGGAAUAUUGAAGAUAUCCCCCACUCAUAUCAUGGCAUCUCCAUCUACAACAUCAAAAGUUAAUCAGUUUGUUUGCUUACAAUGCUUUCCUUUUUGGUGUGA
RNAcentral lists this long non-coding RNA (1256 nucleotides) under Gadus morhua (Atlantic cod). RNAcentral's name for it is "lncRNA (ENSGMOG00000026623.1)". Lineage: Eukaryota; Metazoa; Chordata; Actinopteri; Gadiformes; Gadidae. The record is from RNAcentral.